CGAUGCCAAAUCGGGUUUUUUUUCUGUUAGUUGCGAAUGUAUUCGUUAUAGUAGUUAAUUUGCUAGUCCACGGGAUGUUCCCGCCGAAAUUGGACUUCGUUAUUAUGAAUAUUAAUAAAUUAAUAUGAGGUGUGUUUUUAUCAACUUAAACACUUGGUUGUUUUUGCUUCAGAAAAGCAACUAGUUAUAAAUGUAAGGGCUUUUUUGGACAACUUCGGUGAAAAAGUGUUGAUUUCGUAGUUCAGUCAGCGUAACUUAUAUCCGAGAGGUCUUACAGGCGCCACACAGACACCUAUCAGCCUUUUGUAAGGAGGAGCAGCUCGAGUGCGGUGCGAGCCCUUCAAAUUAGAAAAGUGAGGAUGAUCUUGUCAAUGCUGAGAUUUUCAUGCAUCAGCAGCCACUACAUCUGGAUCAGAUUGAACAAGAAACAGACAGCAAGGGUUGUCAGAUCAGAAACAGAAUGACACAAAAACACAAGAAACUUCACAGGCAGAUCAACAUGCAAUUUGAAGACGUGUGAUAAAAUACAGAGAGGUGAAGUAGUGUGUCUUUCCAGAUCCCCAAAUCAUUCCCCCUUAAAAGAUGAGCCUGAAGAGGAGAUUUGGGAAGAUGCUGUUUCAUAAGUCGCUUUGCCAGAUCACCUGUGGUCGGGAUGUCUGCUAACAAGAUGCCUUGCUGGUCUGAGCGAGUUCAAAGUCUUACACAGACAGUCCAGAAGUUCUGAAGUCCAUCUUUGAUUUCA
Paramisgurnus dabryanus is the source of this 742-nucleotide non-coding RNA. Lineage: Eukaryota; Metazoa; Chordata; Actinopteri; Cypriniformes; Cobitidae. The record is from RefSeq and is a predicted model, not a curated record.